RNAcentral lists this ribosomal RNA (1372 nucleotides) under uncultured bacterium. RNAcentral's name for it is "bacterial SSU rRNA". It matches the Rfam family "Bacterial small subunit ribosomal RNA", at positions 28 to 1381 of the family's 1533-position model. The record is from RNAcentral.
GAUGAACGCUGGCGGCGUGCCUAAUACAUGCAAGUCGAGCGAACAGACAAGGAGCUUGCUCCUUUGACGUUAGCGGCGGACGGGUGAGUAACACGUGGGUAACCUACCUAUAAGACUGGGAUAACUUCGGGAAACCGGAGCUAAUACCGGAUAAUAUUUCGAACCGCAUGGUUCGAUAGUGAAAGAUGGUUUUGCUAUCACUUAUAGAUGGACCCGCGCCGUAUUAGCUAGUUGGUAAGGUAACGGCUUACCAAGGCGACGAUACGUAGCCGACCUGAGAGGGUGAUCGGCCACACUGGAACUGAGACACGGUCCAGACUCCUACGGGAGGCAGCAGUAGGGAAUCUUCCGCAAUGGGCGAAAGCCUGACGGAGCAACGUCGCGUGAGUGAUGAAGGUCUUCGGAUCGUAAAACUCUGUUAUUAGGGAAGAACAUACAUGUAAGUAACUAUGCACGUCUUGACGGUACCUAAUCAGAAAGCCACGGCUAACUACGUGCCAGCAGCCGCGGUAAUACGUAGGUGGCAAGCGUUAUCCGGAAUUAUUGGGCGUAAAGCGCACGUAGGCGGUUUUUUAAGUCUGAUGUGAAAGCCCACGGCUCAACCGUGGAGGGUCAUUGGAAACUGGAAAACUUGAGUGCAGAAGAGGAAAGUGGAAUUCCAUGUGUAGCGGUGAAAUGCGCAGAGAUAUGGAGGAACACCAGUGGCGAAGGCGACUUUCUGGUCUGUAACUGACGCUGAUGUGCGAAAGCGUGGGGAUCAAACAGGAUUAGAUACCCUGGUAGUCCACGCCGUAAACGAUGAGUGCUAAGUGUUAGGGGGUUUCCGCCCCUUAGUGCUGCAGCUAACGCAUUAAGCACUCCGCCUGGGGAGUACGACCGCAAGGUUGAAACUCAAAGGAAUUGACGGGGACCCGCACAAGCGGUGGAGCAUGUGGUUUAAUUCGAAGCAACGCGAAGAACCUUACCAAAUCUUGACAUCCUUUGACAACUCUAGAGAUAGAGCCUUCCCCUUCGGGGGACAAAGUGACAGGUGGUGCAUGGUUGUCGUCAGCUCGUGUCGUGAGAUGUUGGGUUAAGUCCCGCAACGAGCGCAACCCUUAAGCUUAGUUGCCAUCAUUAAGUUGGGCACUCUAAGUUGACUGCCGGUGACAAACCGGAGGAAGGUGGGGAUGACGUCAAAUCAUCAUGCCCCUUAUGAUUUGGGCUACACACGUGCUACAAUGGACAAUACAAAGGGCAGCGAAACCGCGAGGUCAAGCAAAUCCCAUAAAGUUGUUCUCAGUUCGGAUUGUAGUCUGCAACUCGACUACAUGAAGCUGGAAUCGCUAGUAAUCGUAGAUCAGCAUGCUACGGUGAAUACGUUCCCGGGUCU